CAAAAACAUAGCUGUGUGAUGUUACACAUAGUAUUUUCUGCUCAAUGAGAUUUAAAUAGCCGCAGUACCCUGACUGUGCAAAGGUAGCGUAAUCAGUUGUCUUUUAAUUGAAGUCUUGCAUCAAUGAACAUAUGGGGGCCUACUAUACCAGUAGUAUUAAAUGAAUUUACUUAAAGAGUGAAAAUACUCUUAUAAUUUAAUAGACGAGAAGACCCUAGAAAUUUUGACAAAGUGUUUUUGUUGGGGCAACAUGGUAACAUAUAACUUACCAUAUGGACAAGGAAAGGUUUCGUAAGGAGAAAUUACUCUAGGGAUAACAGCAUAAUGUAUAAUCGUUUGUGACCUCGAUGUUGGAUUAGGAAGUUAUAGCUUAAAAGGUAUUUAAUUUUGCUCUGUUCGAGCA
Molecule: ribosomal RNA, 403 nt
Filed under: Glyptorhagada tattawuppana
Lineage: Eukaryota; Metazoa; Mollusca; Gastropoda; Stylommatophora; Camaenidae
Description: partial 16S ribosomal RNA
Rfam family: Archaeal large subunit ribosomal RNA
Source: RNAcentral